GAAGGGUGCAAGCGUUACUCGGAAUUACUGGGCGUAAAGCGUGCGUAGGUGGUUCGUUAAGUCUGUCGUGAAAGCCCCGGGCUCAACCUGGGAAUGGCGAUGGAUACUGGCGGGCUAGAGUGCGGUAGAGGAGAGUGGAAUUCCCGGUGUAGCAGUGAAAUGCGUAGAGAUCGGGAGGAACAUCAGUUGCGAAGGCGGCUCUCUGGACCAGCACUGACACUGAGGCACGAAAGCGUGGGGAGCAAACAGGAUUAGAUACCCUGGUAGUCCACGCCCUAAACGAUGCGAACUGGACGUUGGGAGCAACUAGGCUCUCAGUGUCGAAGCUAACGCGUUAAGUUCGCCGCCUGGGGAGUACGGUYGCAAGRCUG
RNAcentral lists this ribosomal RNA (371 nucleotides) under uncultured bacterium. RNAcentral's name for it is "bacterial SSU rRNA". It matches the Rfam family "Bacterial small subunit ribosomal RNA", at positions 527 to 896 of the family's 1533-position model. The record is from RNAcentral.